GUUUAUAUAAGCAUGUAUGUUUGUGUAUAUAUAUAUAUAUAUGUACAUGCAUGUUGAUUAUAUAAGAAUAAGCUUUGGCUGACAUAGUUGGUGAAUAAUAAUGACAAGAUUGAUUAUAUCAGGAAUCCUAUCUUCCUGAAAUAGUAUAGAAGCCAUGCUGCAUGGAAAAAGAGGAAUAAGCCCUAUGAUUUUUUUGGGUUCCAGCCAGAAUUAUCUUGCAAUACUGAAGUAUUCCUGGGAAUAUCAAAAUAACAAUAACAAAAAAACCAAUAAUAAUACAAUAAGAUAAAUAUCAGGAGGAAUACAAAAUUUGUAUCAUUUCAGCAAGUUGGUUAAUAAACAAUAAUUUUAACUUUAAAAAUUCCUUCAGGAUGUCCACUUGUCUGAGAUCAGUAUCAUUCUCUAAAUGAAGUUUCUGCUUGUUCAAAUGGAAAAGUAAAUGAAGUAAAAUCUUAUUAUUAUUAGGCAUUUUUCAUAUAUUGAGUUAUAUAAUAAGAAUUUUCCCUAAAUGAUACUUUCAUUGAAUAAUGUAGAAGCACAGUGACUUUGCACUUGCACUUAUAUUACAUUUGAUUUUCAUUCAUUUUGUGAAAUGUUAAAUUUAUUUGUAUUCACAGAAAAUUAUACUUUCUAUAUGCUUAGUAUCAUUCAAGAAAAUAGAAACAGAGAAGUGAAUAAAAGUAAAGCCCCUACCCUUAUAUAUCAUAUAUUCUGGAAAGAUUAGAAGUAAAAGUACAAAGUAAAUAUAAUAAAUCAAGUAGAUAACUGUUAGAAUGGCAAAUAAUUUCUGAUAAAAAUGUGUUAUCAACUUUUGUUUCAAUCUAGAUGGUAUAGUCUUGUCUCUUCCUAUUCCUUCCCACCAAGUACAACUACAAAACCUGAAAACAACUCAAGAGAUGCCCAAAAGAGAAUUCCAAAAGAUGGAAGAGAAAGUUGCACUGGUUUGAGACUCCAGGAUUACAGUUAAACAGUGUGUUUUUUUACACUUCACGGAAUGAGUAUUGACAUCAGCUGGUGGACAUGUCCUAGAGCUCCCAGUGCUACCACUGUGUUGAUGAUUCCAGCUUGACAUUUCUCGUCUGAGCUUCUUAUAGGCCUUAAAUUCUGAUUAAGUCAAGAUUCUUCGUAACAUCGGUAAUUUGGAAAUGUAAGUUGUUUCAUAGAUGGCAAAAUAUGAAAACCCGUGGUAGUCAAGUUAUCAUCUCCAGCUCUACUGAAGUCUAUUGCAAUGAUCGAACAAGAUUUCUUGAAGUGUUUUAUUGUAUGGACUUUAGGAGGGAUCUUUUCUCUGUUGAGUCCAAAAGAAAAUUAAAUGACUACUUUAAGAUGAAUGACCCUGAAGAAAGAGGGGUAGGUUCUGUUUCCAAUAAUGAAAGAUGCCAUGUGGUGCCAGAGCACUUGGAUGUACAGCCCUGAAGAGUUGCAGGAUGCAAAGGAAAGAAGCAGUGCCUCUAGGGAAUUGUGACUGCUGGUGCAAGACCUGUGAAAUCAGGGGAAAUAAAAGCAAUUUUACUGCAUUCCACAAAUAAAGGUAAGUAAUACUUGCAUUUAAAUAUUUUAAUCUCUCUUGAGACUUUGACCUAUAUGCAUUUAGAAGUGUGCUGUUAAGUUUUUAAACAUUUGGGGAUUUUGAGCAUUCUCUCUCUUACUGACUUCUAGUUUAAUUCCUUUGUGGCAUUCAAACAUACUUUAUAUGAUGUCUGUUUUGUUAAAUAUGUGAGGAUGUGUUUUGUGUCCCACUACAUUUUAUCUUGAUGAAUAUUGCAUGAGAGCUUGAAAAGAAUAUGUAUCCUACUGUUGUUGGAUAGAGUUUUCUACAAAUAUCAGUCAGAUCAAAUUAAUUGAAAGUGCAGUUUAGGUUAGGUCAAUUUUCUUACUGAUUUUCUGCUUGCUUAUCUACCAUUUACUAAAAGAGAGGUGUUGAAAUCUCAAUCAUAAUAGUGUUAUAUCUAAUUCUUCUUGCAGUUCUAUUAGUUUUUGCCUCACAAAUUUUGAUACUCUGUGGGUAGUGUAUUCACAUCAAGGAUUGUUAUAAUUUGAGGAGACUUAUUAUGGCAUUCCUCUAUUACUGAUAAUUUUCUUUUGUUCUGAAAUUGGUUUUAUCUGUAAUUAAUAUAACUACUUUUUCUCUUUAUUGGUGUUGGUAUAAUACAUACUUUUCUAUGACUUAAUUUUUUAAGUGAAAACUAUUUUUAGAGCAGUUUUAGGGUCACAGAAAUAUUUAGUGGAAAUUAGAGAGUUUGCAUUAACCUAUUGUACCCACACAUGCGUAUUCUUAGUAUUGACAUCCCAUUCCACACUGUUACAUUUGCUACAAUUAAUGAAUCCACACUGACCUGCCAUUAUCUCACAAAGUCCAUAGGGUUACAUUAGAGUUUAUUCUUAUUGUACGUUCUAUGGGUUUGGACAAAAACACGUAUUAACCACUAUAGUAUCAAAAAGACUAGUGUUUGUGUUCUAAAAAUUCUCUGUGGCCUGUUUUUCCCUCCCCUCCAACCUCUGGAAAUCCGUGUUGAGAAAUUGAAGCUGGUGUAUUAAGAAUAUGCAGAUCAUGACGUGCUGAAAGAGAAGAUACAAACCACCUACAAGGGGAUAGCAGGUAGCUACCUCAGUAUCCAAGCUCCCACUUUAUGGAAGUGAAACUCACAGGAUCUUUGUGGAGGAAGACACAGUUUCAGUACACCCACACAAAGAAAGUAGAGUCACAAGAUUUAUUACUUCCAUAUUCUGGAAUUGGAGGGGCACAAAUGAGCGGGGGAAAGGGCAAUCUUUCAUUCUAGGCCCAGAGGAAGCAAGAGAUAUACAGCAGGGUGUCAUGCACAUAUCACUUGUAAGGUAAUUGGGGCAGAAGUCACUAUUUU
Long non-coding RNA from Mustela erminea (ermine), 2861 nucleotides. RefSeq lists it as uncharacterized. The record is from RefSeq and is a predicted model, not a curated record. The transcript has 7 exons. NCBI's taxonomy places the organism in Eukaryota, Metazoa, Chordata, Mammalia, Carnivora, Mustelidae.